GGCUGUACCAUGCUCUUUUUCGACAAGGAGCUAAUCUCUCGAAAGCGGUUGCGGCGGCACGAGAGGUUUUCAGGAGUCAACCCGCCGUUAUGAUGCUCGAUUUUGUCUCCGGCUCGAAACGCGGCGUGUGCGCCGAUCACAGCCGCCGCGAAAUGAGCGAUGAUGAGGAGACCGAUAGCGCACAAGUA
Molecule: ribosomal RNA, 188 nt
Filed under: uncultured eukaryote
Lineage: Eukaryota
Description: partial large subunit ribosomal RNA
Source: RNAcentral